UGCGGCCCCAAGGCCAAACAGAGCCGGU
RNAcentral lists this non-coding RNA (28 nucleotides) under Bombyx mori (domestic silkworm). Lineage: Eukaryota; Metazoa; Arthropoda; Insecta; Lepidoptera; Bombycidae. The record is from RNAcentral.